RNAcentral lists this ribosomal RNA (402 nucleotides) under bacterium. RNAcentral describes it as "partial 16S ribosomal RNA". It matches the Rfam family "Bacterial small subunit ribosomal RNA", at positions 355 to 776 of the family's 1533-position model. The record is from RNAcentral.
UGGGGAAUAUUGCACAAUGGAGGGAACUCUGAUGCAGCGACGCCGCGUGAACGAAGAAGGCUUUCGAGUCGUAAAGUUCUUUUAUAUGGGAAGAUAAUGACGGUACCAUAAGAAGAAGCCCGGCUAACUACGUGCCAGCAGCCGCGGUAAUACGUAGGGGGCUAGCGUUGUCCGGAAUCACUGGGCGUAAAGGGUUCGCAGGCGGAAAUGCAAGUCAGGUGUAAAAGGCAGUAGCUUAACUACUGUAAGCAUUUGAAACUGCAUAUCUUGAGAAGAGUAGAGGUAAGUGGAAUUUUUAGUGUAGCGGUGAAAUGCGUAGAUAUUAAAAAGAAUACCGGUGGCGAAGGCGACUUACUGGGCUCAUUCUGACGCUGAGGAACGAAAGCGUGGGUAGCAAACAGG